This 253-nucleotide ribosomal RNA is filed under the name uncultured bacterium. RNAcentral's name for it is "partial 16S ribosomal RNA". It matches the Rfam family "Bacterial small subunit ribosomal RNA", at positions 524 to 776 of the family's 1533-position model. The record is from RNAcentral.
UACAGAGGGGGCAAGCGUUGUUCGGAAUUACUGGGCGUAAAGGGCGCGUAGGCGGCCUUCUAAGUCGAACGUGAAAUCCCCGGGCUCAACCCGGGAACUGCGUCCGAUACUGGAAGGCUUGAAUCCGGGAGAGGGAUGCGGAAUUCCAGGUGUAGCGGUGAAAUGCGUAGAUAUCUGGAAGAACACCCGUGGCGAAGGCGGCUCUCUGGGACGGUACUGACGCUGAGACGCGAAAGCGUGGGGAGCGAACAGG